This 30-nucleotide ribosomal RNA is filed under the name Sympecma fusca. RNAcentral describes it as "partial 28S ribosomal RNA". The record is from RNAcentral. Lineage: Eukaryota; Metazoa; Arthropoda; Insecta; Odonata; Lestidae.
UUUCAAUUUGCCGACCUCAGAGACAGGUAG